AUUCCAUGAUGGGGACAGGCUCGGGCAAGGUCCUGCAGCCUUUCCCAUGCUUCAGGGAUGGACUCGAGUGAUGUUUGCUGGAAGUUGGAUAUCUCCCUCCUUAGAGC
Small nucleolar RNA from Sorghum bicolor (sorghum), 107 nucleotides. It matches the Rfam family "Plant small nucleolar RNA R71". Rfam says of the family: R71 is a member of the C/D box family of snoRNAs containing the C (UGAUGA) and D (CUGA) box motifs. Lineage: Eukaryota; Viridiplantae; Streptophyta; Magnoliopsida; Poales; Poaceae. The record is from Rfam.